RNAcentral lists this long non-coding RNA (361 nucleotides) under Brassica napus (rape). Its description in RNAcentral is "long non-coding RNA (BNAP_LNC023590)". The record is from RNAcentral. Lineage: Eukaryota; Viridiplantae; Streptophyta; Magnoliopsida; Brassicales; Brassicaceae.
UUUUUUGUGCAUUUCCUUUUCAAAUCUUCGUCUUAUCUAUGGUUGUCGAAUGCUUUAAUUUAUUUGUUUCAGAUGACAAAAUUUAUUAAUAUCUUUCACCAAAAAAAAAAAUUUCUUGAGUGGUUUUUACUAGUGCAGAUUAAAUUAAAUUAAAGUUAAAUUUAAAUGUUUAUAUAUAUCAUGUUAAAAGGUGAAUAUUUAAAAUUAGAUGAUAGCUGUGAUUAAAUGAUCAUGAAUCUUAAAUUACUCUUUUGUCAUUUCAAAGCUAUACUUAAUUAUAAUUUAGUGUAGAUGAAUCCUUUUGUGACACAUGGAAAUUAGGGCAUGAUGUAUUAUCAAAUUUAGGUUUAUUUCUUUGCCC